CAUGAGUUCGAGGUGGACGAGGAUGGUGAGGGCAUUGUCGACGCACCGAAAGGAAGAGGAGGCAAUUACACCAACAUUGAAGACAUCUUACUAUGCAAUACUUGGUUGCAAGUGUCGAGGGAUCCAUCCGUUGGAGGUGAUCAAAGUAGAGAUGCUUAUUGGCUUCGGAUGAAGGAACACUUUGAUGUUCGCAACGAGAGUGGAAUUGACCGCUCCGAUCGAUCUCUUCGCUCCCGGUGGUCGACAAUCAACAAGGAUUGUCAAAAGUGGGCGGCCGCACAAAAGGCGGUUGACAAG
RNAcentral lists this ribosomal RNA (297 nucleotides) under Triticum aestivum (bread wheat). RNAcentral's name for it is "partial small subunit ribosomal RNA". Lineage: Eukaryota; Viridiplantae; Streptophyta; Magnoliopsida; Poales; Poaceae. The record is from RNAcentral.